This is a non-coding RNA of Ciona savignyi (Pacific transparent sea squirt), 119 nucleotides long. NCBI's taxonomy places the organism in Eukaryota, Metazoa, Chordata, Ascidiacea, Phlebobranchia, Cionidae. The record is from Rfam.
GCUUAUCAGCAUUCCAGAUUGAAUAUACCCGAUCUCGUCUGAUCUCGGAAGUCAAGCAAUCUCGGGCUUGGUUAGUACUUGGAUGGGUGACCGCUUGGGACUACCAAGUGUGAUAAGCA